Sinocyclocheilus anshuiensis is the source of this 1165-nucleotide long non-coding RNA. RefSeq lists it as uncharacterized. The record is from RefSeq and is a predicted model, not a curated record. Lineage: Eukaryota; Metazoa; Chordata; Actinopteri; Cypriniformes; Cyprinidae. The transcript is spliced from 2 exons.
UAGACAUCAAGCACUGUGUUUUACAGAGCAUUGCGCAUGACGACCCAAUCAAUAGAAUCAGACCAGACAUGAGUGAAUGGGCUGUAUAUUCUCUGACAUCAUUAGUGUCAAAGAAAUGUAUGAAGAAGACCUCAAAGGCAGGAUUUAGGCCUACAUUGAACAACUGUUUUAAGUAGCAGUCACUGACUUUAUUUGUCUGUCUCAUUUAAAUUAGAUGAAAAGAAAGAGGUUUCCAGGAGAAAAGGAGAGCUUUCCCAUACCAAAGAUGUUGGGUUGAAGCUAAGGGAAGCUCUGAAACAGCAGCUCACCAUCAUCCACGAGAGAGUGGAGGCUAGGAAGAUAGCUAAAUUGGCUCUGGCGGAAGUGAGGAACAUCCUAGCCAAAGAGGAGGAAGAGAGGACCUUGAACCAUAUCAGGGAGGAGUCGGAAGCCAAGGCCUGGGAGAGAGCUGAGGCUCGGCUGAAAGAGGAGGGGGAGAGAAUAGAGAAGGAGGAUGUGGAAAAGGCCAUGGCAAGAAUUAGAAAGGAGAAGGAGGAAAGAGAGAAAAUGGCAGAAGUUGAAGAAGCAAAGAAGACUAAGAAGGUGGAAAAGGAUGAGGUGAAGGAAAAGCCAGAGGCUGAAAAGAAAUCUCACGAGAAACCCGUUGUUGAUGACGAUGCUAAAAAAGUUGAGAAAAAUGGAAAAGGCAAAGAAUCCAAGAAGGCUGCAGCUAAAAAGAAACCGUAAGGCAGCAAAUCAGCUACUGUUAGAUCUUUUUGUCUUUUGUGUAAUUUGUUAACAUCUGGCUGAAUUUGAUCUCAGGCCAUUGUGAGUCUCCAGAGACCACCCCUUGUAGACUGAAGGCAAGACCUUUUGUCUCUAUAUAUGAGAGAUAAUCAGUGAUGUUAAUCAGAACAUUGAGAUUAGUAGAAGCAAAAGCAGAACAAGGUGCUAUAUGCCGAUCGUCAUGUGGAAGUUCUUUUAUUUCUCUUAAAAAAUGUCUGUUUUGUUUGAGGGUAGGAUUUUGGUUUACUCUUACAAAAUACUAGCUAUAGUGUGAGAUUUCAACAUUGAUGUUCCUCUGAUUUUGUUUAUUUUAUAAUAAAUACAACAGGUAGCUAUACUUUAUUAAGAGAGAACGUUCUUGUGUUAUCAAUAAACUAUAUGAAUCCCCUGAUUUGUUUUA